RNAcentral lists this long non-coding RNA (1266 nucleotides) under Capra hircus (goat). RNAcentral's name for it is "lncRNA (ENSCHIG00010022090.1)". Lineage: Eukaryota; Metazoa; Chordata; Mammalia; Artiodactyla; Bovidae. The record is from RNAcentral.
AGAUUGAAUGUUUUACCAAGAUACCUUGGAGACCUGUUCAACUUAGAAUAUUGUGUGCAGAUGACUUUAUUAGAAAUAAUAGCUAAUAUUUAUUAAGCAUUUACUAUCUGCCAGGCACUGUGUUAAACAUUUUGAGUGUAUUGUUUUGCUUACGUUCAGCAGCCGUCAUAUGUGGUAAUUUGUCCUCAUUUUUAUAAGUGAGGAAGCAGUGCUACAGAGAAGUUAAGCAACUUGCACAAGGUCACGUGAUAGUAUUUGACUCAUCAGGGUUUCAAACCCAGGUAUCUGCUUCCAAAGUCAGUGCUCUUAACUAGUAUUCUGACCUUGGGAAAUGUUGAUACAAUGAAAAGUAAAGAUUCACAAGCAGAUUCCAUUAUUAUUCAUAAUCUUCAUGUUGACUUAUAUUUGGAAAGAAAAAAAGAAACAGGAAAAACAAACUCCCACUUAAUUUUUCCAACUUAAUAUUUCCAGGUGAAUUUAUCCUUUGAAGAAAGCAAUUUGUUGUCUUCAUUUCCUGUUUUGGACAUUGUGUUGAAUUUCACUGUCCCUUUUUAUGUCACUCACCUAGCUAUUUCUUCUGUUUAGACGCAGUGCUUUGUUCUUAACAAAUGUAAAUCUGACAUUUUGCAAGAAAGAAUAUUAUUUUUUGGAAAUGAGAAUUAUUAACUAUAUCAUACAAGUUUAUUAUUACCAUGAUUUUUAAAGAAGAUUGUGGUUUCUUUGAAUUGUGCCCUUUCCAGAUUUUGAAAUAUUUAAUAAUUUACCAGAGGUGUGAAACAGCAGGAGUAUCAAAGGGAGCAUUGCUAGAAGGACAGCUAGUGAUUUCCAUAGAAGCAUUAAAUUCUAAGCACCAAGCAAAUACUCUUCACUGUGUAACAACUACAGUAAACAUCUUUAAGAAGGGUGUGAUAGUUUGGUUUGCUGUUAACUCUGCGUGAACUCCCUUCUGACUGGACAGAGUUCCCACCAUUCCUGAAGGAGGUGCUACACGGCGAGAGUGAUGUUUUUCUGCAUAAGGUUGUAUUAGCUUGUGCACUGAUCAUGAUCCAAUAAACUGUGGUCAGAGUGGCAGGGUGAUUUCACUCCAAGCAAAGGACUUGAGCCACACAGCUUUUGGCAAGAAACUGAAUUACAUAGACAUUUUGAGCCUAAUGGACCGCUUCAGUCCAUCUAGUAUGAGGAGCAUUUCUCUUCUGUUUAUUGUCUCUGAUCUUUAUAUUGGCAGGAGGAAAGGUGAUAUGUGCUUGUCAUGAAACAUUAUAACAU